Molecule: long non-coding RNA, 1033 nt
Organism: Betta splendens (Siamese fighting fish)
Lineage: Eukaryota; Metazoa; Chordata; Actinopteri; Anabantiformes; Osphronemidae
Exons: 3
Source: RefSeq, a predicted model, not a curated record
UGAGUGUACUGUAUAGAAUGACACUGAUCCCUGUCAGAUAAACCUAAUUACUUACUACUAACAAUACUGCAGCUGUACCAUUAUUCCACUUACUGUAAAUAAUGUAACCAACUACAUUCAUUCACUGUGACUGUGAAAUAAGCAACAAUCAACUUUACCCUUUAUAUCAAACUUUGCAAUAUUGUACACUAAACAUUUUUAAAACAGUCACCACUACAGCACAACACAAUGUGAAGAUGUUUUGUGAAAGAUGCAAAACAUUUUAAUUUUACUGCAUUUUUGCAGCAGAAAAAAAAAAUACAGGUUGCCUUGACGACCAAGCAAAGAAGAAAACCACAAGAUAACGCAGUGAAAGGCGCAUGACUCAUGUGAUUAGUGUUUUUUGUUUGUUUUUUUUUUUUUUAAGAAAAAGUUGAACACAGCAGCCACCUGCCCCAAUAAAACCAGAUCAUCUGCACAGCUACAAAAGGUAGGUCCAAAGAAAACUAGCUGAGCUGCACAACAUAACAGGGAGACAACUGCCUGUCACUAUAUACAUAGUGAGCAAAUGUGUGUUGUUCCCGAACACUCUAGGCAAGAUGUAAUGAGGAACCAUCUGAGCAGGUGUAUGAAGGUACCGUAGGGGUCAUGGGGAUUACAGCAGCAGGGCGUGGUGACCUCAGGCAAGCCAGAUUACUGCUCUUAAUCAGCCUCCCUGCAGAGGCCUUGGACGCAUUUCUUGCACACUGGAUAAUCAAUUUGCUGCUCCUCCGCCUGCACCCUAUCCUUGACAACAGUCCAUGCAUGGUGAGAAGGGAAGCAGCGUACGCUCCCCUUUCCCCCAGCUUCUUCACUUCUCUCUGCUGUUGACAAAUACACACAAGCAAACAUUCACCCUUGGGGGAGAUUCAACAAUAAGAGUGCAUUCAAGAAAGUACAGCCAAGACCAGAAGUCCAGGUCAGCAACUGGGCCACUCACUUUGGGUAGGCAGGGUCUACCAUGCGAAGAAUGAGCUGAAUGACGGUGCUGUAGAACUGCAGACAUCUGCGGAGC